AUUUUUACGAAGUACUUUCCACAUGCUCUAUCUCACCGAAUCCGCCACAACAAUCGUUUGAAUGCUGGCUCUGCCCUCGCUGGUAUGACUCCCAGCAAGUUCCUUUUUCUUCCAGCCUUAUUCCUCCUUUGUAACAAGGAGUCUUCCAAGACACAACCAACAUCAGUGUCACUGUAGCACUAAAUGAGAUAACACGUGCGAAGCAUUUAAUAGUGCCUGCCACAGUAAUAAUCACUCGAUAGCCAUUAGCUUUUGCUCAUAUUGUUGUCACGUCCACAAACACCACAACUCCAGAGAAUCAAGUGCAUGAGUUGAGGAUCUGGGAAUAUGCAUGCUCUGGAAAGGUCUGCAUGCUUCUGUUGCUUUGAUGGGAAAUUUUCCUAAACCAGAUUCUUUCAAGCGUGAGACUCUGUUGUGGAGUCUAAGAGUUGAUGAGUGGAUUUUGGUAGCAACUCUUCAUGUCAACAGCAUGUGCUGAAGACUAUAGAGAAGCCGUAUUCUGGUUAUUUUUCCAUUCGACAAGUCCUUCUCCAACACCUCCUUUGAGGCAGGCAUUGUAGUGGGAGCUAUGAAUACAGAAGGAAAACAAGAUAGUCUUGGAUAUUAUCGUCAGGUUGUGAUAAAGAAGAAAAAAAUGUAUUCUUCAUGAAGGUCAACAUCUUCCUGUGCAGAAGCACAAUAUAGGAAUUAGAUGUGCUUUACUGCAUAGAAUGAGAGAAACUAUGCCCGGAUUUGUAGGGCCCAUAUUUUUAAGGACAGUCUUUCUCUCAGCGAAGUCUAUGUGCGUGUAUGUGUGGUUGUGCAUUCCCGUGUACACGUAUAAACACAUACACACACCCUCCAAUAAUGGACCUGAAUAAUUGACUAGUUCUUGCUCUCAUUUCUUCCAGUUGACGUUGCUCCUGAUUCUCCAACAGCUUCCCCAACAGAGCAAAGUAACGUCACUGCUGUUACUUCUAGAAGAGCUUGUCUGAAAGAUGAAAACCCCCUGCAGCUCACCAGCACCUUGGCCUAUUACAGCUACCUCCUGCUCCUCCUCGUGAGCGCGGUCUACUUUGCCAUCAUCACCAUCUGUCUGUGUAGGAGAACAGCCGUCUCUGGCAAUGGAAAGAAUUCAUAACAGAUGGGGGGACAAAGAAGUCAACUUUAGUUCAUCAUUUAUUGUCCCUAGAAGUGUCUACUGCGAAUCUACCUUGGCUUUCUCUCUGGGUUUGGGUUAUUCCAGUUCAAAAGUGUGCUUUGCUGUUAUGCCAUUAUUGUGUAAUGGUUUUUCAAAACACUGGGCAAAUAGAAAUUUUUUCUCUAUGACAGCAAUGAACUCUGCCAUUACUCAGGGGCAGGGCCGUGGGGUCGUCCUUUAGCACCACUCUCUCCAUGAUCUCCAUCAGCUCCUCCAGCAAACUGAAUGACCAUGCCUUCUGAGUACAGACAACAUGCAACUCUACUCACGUCCCUUAGGGCCAUUUAACCAGAUGACCACCUUGGAGCCUUCCAUUUUACACACGCAGAAGUCACCAUCAUUGUCACUUAAAUUCUAUACUUCGUUUUUCAUAAUGGGCACAAUAAAAAAAAUGAAAACUCUA
Long non-coding RNA from Equus asinus (donkey), 1583 nucleotides. The record is from Ensembl. Lineage: Eukaryota; Metazoa; Chordata; Mammalia; Perissodactyla; Equidae.